AGUGAACGCUGGCGGCAGGCCUAACACAUGCAAGUCGAGCGGCAGCGCGUCCGACCACCCUCGGGUGGUCGGAUGGCGGCGAGCGGCGGACGGGUGAGGAAUGCAUCGGAAUCUGCCUCGUUGUGGGGGAUAACGUAGGGAAACUUACGCUAAUACCGCAUACGACCUGAGGGUGAAAGGGGGGGAUCGCAAGACCUCUCGCUAUUGGAGCGGCCGAUGUCAGAUUAGCUAGUUGGUGGGGUAAAGGCCUACCAAGGCAACGAUCUGUAGUUGGUCUGAGAGGACGACCAGCCACACUGGGACUGAGACACGGCCCAGACUCCUACGGGAGGCAGCAGUGGGGAAUUUUGGACAAUGGGGGCAACCCUGAUCCAGCCAUGCCGCGUGAGUGAAGAAGGCCCUCGGGUUGUAAAGCUCUUUUGUCCGGAAAGAAAAGCAAUCGGUUAAUACCCGGUUGUUCUGACGGUACCGGAAGAAUAAGCACCGGCUAACUUCGUGCCAGCAGCCG
Molecule: ribosomal RNA, 508 nt
Filed under: uncultured bacterium
Lineage: Bacteria
Description: bacterial SSU rRNA
Rfam family: Bacterial small subunit ribosomal RNA
Source: RNAcentral